Phrynosoma platyrhinos (Desert horned lizard) is the source of this 72-nucleotide non-coding RNA. The record is from the annotation of a GenBank genome assembly. Lineage: Eukaryota; Metazoa; Chordata; Lepidosauria; Squamata; Phrynosomatidae.
GCCAAUGUGGCGUAGUGAUUUGACCAUUGGACUAUGACUCUGAAGACCAGGGUUCAAAUCCCAGCUUGGUCA